UCUGUGCACAUUUUGNGGCAAGUAGGAGUG
RNAcentral lists this non-coding RNA (30 nucleotides) under Homo sapiens (human). Lineage: Eukaryota; Metazoa; Chordata; Mammalia; Primates; Hominidae. The record is from RNAcentral.